RNAcentral lists this long non-coding RNA (229 nucleotides) under Elaeis guineensis (African oil palm). RNAcentral's name for it is "long non-coding RNA (EGUI_LNC000012)". Lineage: Eukaryota; Viridiplantae; Streptophyta; Magnoliopsida; Arecales; Arecaceae. The record is from RNAcentral.
GAAUGCGAAAGAAAAACUUGCCCUUUAUUGAUUAAUCAAUAGUUUAACUACAAAUUUAUGUCGUAGAACAAAAUGUGUUAGUCAACAAUUGGCUUCUAGGACAUACAUCUACAGAUUCUACUCCAGACUACUUGUGGCAUUCUGAUGUGUUGCAACAACGGCUGGAUGAGUAUGAUUGAAAACUAAAGGAGAUUGAUCGUCAUCUUGAAUGGCUCCAAACCAACCAUCG